AGUUUGCAGGAGAAUCGAGUUCUUCUGCUGAACCUGACAGAGCUGACUCAAUAGCUUCUUUAGAGGCAGACAUGAACACCUCUGCGUUUCAGUGCUCUGUAUUUAUUAGUGUGAUGAUGGUCGUGGUGGUGUAUUCAGCGUCAGUGCACAACUGUCCAUUAAACAAAAAACAGUGUGUGCUUUAUCUGCGCCACAUUAAGAAUGCAACUGAAGAUCUGUUAAAAGAGAACCUACACGGAAGGGUGCCAAGGGUUUAUAAAGAUACAUGUGCGGACAAAUUCUUCUGUUUGGCGGAGAAGGCUCUUUCUAACAUUACUGAGGCAAUGAAUCACCCUCAACACGGCAAGUUUGAAAAGCUACGGAGGGCCCUGCAUCAAUACAACAACAUGACAAACGACACCCACUGCACACUGGAAUGCAAGAGUAGAUAUCAACUACAUGAAUUUCUUAAGAAUGUGAGCAAGUGCACAGACCGUGUCCUACAUCCUCCCAAGUAUAUAAGAUGAAGGGACCCCAUGAAGUAUUAUGCUCCUUGUCUAAGUUAUUUAUAAUAAUGUAAUAUUUAUUUUUUUAUAUUUAUUUUGCGUUUCUAUUGUAGAUGAAAUGCCUUUAAAAAAAUAAAUUGAAAUGUGACAAUGAAGGUGUUAUGCAAGCUUUUUUUUAAAUCUUCAGAUCAACCCACAGUAGGAUCUUUAAAUUAACAGGUAUAAUUUCGUAGGGAAGCUGGAUGCAAUGCAUUGCUUCGUGACAUCACUACACAACGAGAACCUGAGAUCAGACAUGAAUAAUUUAUUAAAUAAAAUCCAGAUGUUUGUUGGUGUAAACAUUUGACAUACACUAUAACAACAACAAAAAAAGCUAGCUUACAUCCACUAAAAACCAAAACAU
Long non-coding RNA from Xiphophorus couchianus (Monterrey platyfish), 888 nucleotides. RefSeq lists it as uncharacterized. The transcript is spliced from 4 exons. Lineage: Eukaryota; Metazoa; Chordata; Actinopteri; Cyprinodontiformes; Poeciliidae. The record is from RefSeq and is a predicted model, not a curated record.